RNAcentral lists this transfer RNA (73 nucleotides) under Neotoma lepida (desert woodrat). It matches the Rfam family "tRNA". From Rfam's summary of the family: Transfer RNA (tRNA) molecules are approximately 80 nucleotides in length. Their secondary structure includes four short double-helical elements and three loops (D, anti-codon, and T loops). Lineage: Eukaryota; Metazoa; Chordata; Mammalia; Rodentia; Cricetidae. The record is from Rfam by way of RNAcentral.
GAGGGUGUAGCUCAGUAGUAGAGAGCACUUGCCUAACAUUGAAAGACCCUGAGUUCUGUCCUCAGCACCCACA